UAGUCCGUCAUGGCUGUUGUUAUUCUUCUUGGCUCGCAGUCAAAAAUAAUCCGACCAGUGUUGUAAAGACCGUCAUGAAAAGAUCCGAUGCAGGUCUGAUUACGUCACAUAAUCGGAAUUGAGUCACUUCAGGCUCCAGUGUGAACGCAGCCUCUGUCUGAGCGCGAGGAGAAGUUUUGUGAAGAAAGACAUGAAGUCCUGCUUUCAAAAUGAAAAUAAAAUUUCCCCCAUGCAAGUCCAGGCGGUGCGCUUGUCUCUUUAAUACUGGCUUCGUGCACUGCCAAUUAGCAACCAAAUCCCAGGUUGGAGCGGCAUCAUCACCUUGACACCGACUCACCUUCACACUAAUUGGCGCUGAUUGGAAGCGGUGUGAUGACACAGGUCAACCCUGCCUCAGCUGCUCCGAGUUGCAGCUGUUACUGGAGCAGCAG
Molecule: long non-coding RNA, 431 nt
Organism: Gambusia affinis (western mosquitofish)
Lineage: Eukaryota; Metazoa; Chordata; Actinopteri; Cyprinodontiformes; Poeciliidae
Exons: 3
Source: RefSeq, a predicted model, not a curated record